AUGCCUUAAACUAAUGAGUAAGGAAAAUAGCAGAUCGGUUUGAUUACCGGUCCCUAGCUAAGUUCUAGACCAUUUUUUGCGGGGUACAGGCUGUCCUGCUGUGUCCCCUACUUCAGGGAUGUAGCGGCGUUAGCGGCCUACCCU
RNAcentral lists this small nuclear RNA (144 nucleotides) under Trichobilharzia regenti. RNAcentral's name for it is "U12 minor spliceosomal RNA". It matches the Rfam family "U12 minor spliceosomal RNA". Rfam says of the family: Although the U12 sequence is very divergent from that of U2, the two are functionally analogous. Lineage: Eukaryota; Metazoa; Platyhelminthes; Trematoda; Strigeidida; Schistosomatidae. The record is from Rfam by way of RNAcentral.